This is a non-coding RNA of Ictidomys tridecemlineatus (thirteen-lined ground squirrel), 201 nucleotides long. The record is from Rfam. Lineage: Eukaryota; Metazoa; Chordata; Mammalia; Rodentia; Sciuridae.
AAGACUACUUUGAGGGAUUAUAUCUAUAGUUAAUUACUAGCAAAGUUUAUCUGAAGUAUAGAGCAACAAAAACCAGGAGGAGAGAUGCAGGUUCCUUACUGACAAUGAAGUGGGCUCUUGAAAAGACCACAUUUUGCCAUGGAUGAGGAUUCUUUUUUCCCCUUCAGGAGAAUGAGAAGAGAAUGCAGUCUAGGGAGUGGG